Long non-coding RNA from Lycium barbarum (goji berry), 2825 nucleotides. RefSeq lists it as uncharacterized. NCBI's taxonomy places the organism in Eukaryota, Viridiplantae, Streptophyta, Magnoliopsida, Solanales, Solanaceae. The record is from RefSeq and is a predicted model, not a curated record. The transcript is spliced from 9 exons.
ACCUAAAAGUUGACUUCUUUGUAAAUUGGUCUCAUUUUUAGUUCUCUCUCUUUUUCUAAAGAUUUUCUCUUGCUCAGCUCUGCAGUUCUUUCUCUCUCUGAGUUUGGAAAGUGAAGUUGCUUCAGGGGCACAGAGGAACACUGUUGUGACUUAAAGUAUGAGGAUAGUGUACAACUUGAAUACCUGGAAAAUUGCGGAGGAUUCCUUUGGGGACAGCAUUGGCUCAUGCCAAAGAAAACUCUCCUAUUAACUUGGAGCCAAUCUAGAAGAAAUUUUAGAGAGCCAUACUUACAGCUUAGUUUAUCCCUUCAUCCAUGAGGGAUCCAAUACUCGCUACAUGCUUGUUUCGAGAAUCGGAGAAAAUAAGCUUCUUCAAGAGGGCCAAUGUCCUUUUAAGCAAUUUAAGGGUAUUUGCAAGUUUCUUCUACUUUUCUUCCUAGCUUGCUCGGCUUGGGGGAUCACAUCCAGUUACUCCAACUUUAUCAGAAAUUGUAUCUGACUACAGCACAGACUGGUGUACAGAGAACAACUUACAGGUAUGUGGGAUGGUGUUUGUGACAGAUGUCUGGAAAUAGUUCUCUGAAAUAAUGCAAAAAAUUGCUGAAGGUAACUGUUGGAAUUUUUAAAACAGAAACUACUGAUAUGUGCUAAUGGAGAGUUGUUGAAUUUUAACUUGUCCCUUUCUCUUGAACACGUGCCGCUGGUGGAAAGUGACAGGUAUCCCGUAGAACUAAUCGAUGUGCGCAAAACUGGUCAGGACACUACGGCUAUAAAAGAAAUGUUCUUAAAACGGAAACUAUUGAUAAAUAAAGAUCCUUUCAUAUUGCCUAUUGGGAAUUUGUGAAAUUUUAGCUUGUCCUUUUCUCUUAAAAAAUGAGGAAAGCAUUGCGCAUUGACUAUGUGGUACUUUGUCAUGUUGGUCCCUUUUUUGUGGAGCAUGGCUGCAAGAAGACAACAACGUAACACGAGAGAACUUUGAUGUUUUUAGGUAAUAAUAUACUCCUCUUUUCCAUUUUUCAGUGUAAUGAUUUCUUCUACAUUUAUUAUGUAUUACAUAUACUUCUGAUAUUGAUUUUUCUAUUAAAGAGUUCUAUAAAUGAAGAAUCUCUGAGUUCCAAAAUGCCUCUGGUAUGUGCAUUAUUUCAUUCAGUUCUGGUGAGUUUUUCUCUGUUCUUGCUUUUCUCAUUGCACCCAAUUAGCUAGCGGGAUUUUAGUGCGUAAUAAGUAGUUUCUCCGUACCUUACGAUAGUUUCUUGUAAUUUUAAUUUUACACACAUGGCUACUGAUAUCCAGUUUGCAUACUGAUGCAUCGAAGGUGUUCGGUAAUAUGCCUAAAUCAACUCUUUUUUAAUAGCUUUUCUCUUUUGACAGUUUUUCUAUACUCCAGCAAUUUGAAAGGUGACUUUCCGUUGUAAAUUGAGCCAUGAAAUGAUGAACCGCCCUCUGCUGAUAGUAUACACUGUCGGUAAUCAAGACGGAAACAAGAUUACUGACAAACCAAUCUUGGACUAUAUCAUGAAGUCUCUUGGUCCAGAUUGUUUCUCUGCCUCUUCAAUGAGAAGAUCAGUUGGCGUGACUACAGGAAUGUGCCACACCUUAAUUAAGUUUAACUGAAAGUGAGGGACCUGGUCUACCAUUUGAAGUAAGUGCUUCCAUCACCAGUCUUAAAUGAAAUAUGGUGAAUGGUGAAGUAUCGAACUAUAGCACCGGAGCAAAAGCUAUAUUGCAAGUUAUGAUGAGGAAAAAUGGGGUUACAAUUGCUGACCGGGAAAAGUUGUCUUGAUCAAGCAACCCUGACGCACUGUUCUUAGAGGUAGUAGAAAUUCAGGAGAUGUGAAGACAUUUGGUACAUCAGAGGGCCUCUCACAUUGAGAGAAGGCUUGACUUACUGAUGAUUGGAGAUGGGAACUAUGAACAUGCAGCAGAGGAUCAGAUGAUAAAGAAAGGCUAGAUAUGUUGUUAAUUGGCAAGACACCGACUACUCAGUAGUGGCAAUUUGGUGCAAGGAUAGACUAAAACUUUGGCACAUAGAUGCUAAAGUACCAGAAACUUACUAGGUAGUGGGUACUAUAUUUUCCUAUGUAUUUCAGAAAUCUUAUAAAUUUUCUUAUCACAUUACAUCUAACUAGAACAUGUUUUUUCUAUAUUUGUGGACUUCACUUUGUCGCAUUCAAGGAACACAACGUUUGAUGCUUUCGGAGCAGAGGCUAUGAUUCUGCUCAAAUUUCCAUUGAUUGCUCAAAUCUCACUUCAGAGGCCACAUCUUCCUCUGCUUUCGUCUCUGUUGUCUUUCAUAAAGAAGGCACUAUUCAAUCACUAGCCAAAUCUAUCGAUCAAGCUUCACUUUGGAGUUCAAACUCUUCGGCUCCCAUAUAAGAAUCACGUUGAUGUUAUCUUUUAAGCAUGCAAAUAAAGCUCAUGCUUCCAGCUGGCAUGAAUUCUUCCAAAGUUCCGAUAUUUUUGUCAAGCUAAUUUAUGGAGCGGUCAAUUUUCAAAAGAGAAUGUGCUUCUUUUGUCCCUUAUGUAAAUGGGUUUUCUCAUGAAGAUGAAGAAUGUACGACUUCACAAUCUUGUACAACUUUGUUCCUUAGUGUGUGUAAAUAUUAUGAAGUGUUAAAAGCCUGAGACAAGAAAUAUUCUCUUGGUGUUAGGAUCUUUUUAGUAUUCUCUGCACAAAUAAUAAAAACAGUGAUGUUGGGCCUACGCCCGUGCAGAGCACGGGCACGGGCUAUCUAGUACAAUUAGAUAUGAGUCAUAUGGUGCUGAUUGUGAUAGUCCCACGUGGACCGUAAUUGUCCACCAUCAUGACACUUGUCUUCCACUAA